AAGAUUCACGAAACCCAAGGUGCAUGCCGAGGUGCGGUAGGCCUCGUUAACAAACCGCAAAAAAAUAGUCGCAAACGACGAAAACUACGCACUAGCAGCUUAAUAACCUGCAUAGAGCCCUUCUACCCUAGCUUGCCUGUGUCCUAGGGAAUCGGAAGGUCAUCCUUCACAGGAUCGUGUGGAAGUCCUGCUCGGGGCGGAAGCAUUAAAACCAAUCGAGCUAGUCAAUUCGUGGCGUGUCUCUCCGCAGCGGGUUGGCGAAUGUAAAGAGUGACUAAGCAUGUAGUACCGAGGAUGUAGUAAUU
Molecule: transfer-messenger RNA, 305 nt
Filed under: Aeromonas salmonicida subsp. salmonicida
Lineage: Bacteria; Pseudomonadati; Pseudomonadota; Gammaproteobacteria; Aeromonadales; Aeromonadaceae
Description: transfer-messenger RNA Aerom_salmo
Rfam family: transfer-messenger RNA
About the family: Bacterial tmRNA, also known as 10Sa RNA or SsrA, is named for its dual tRNA and mRNA-like properties. Its role is to liberate the mRNA from a stalled ribosome.
Source: RNAcentral